GACCUUGAGGCGCCGGCCGGCAGUAGAGAGGGAGAGAAGGAGCCCGGUGCAGCCACCCCUCCCGAGCCCCACUGGGAGCGGAGCGGCCGCCCGGCGCUGUCGGGGAAAGCUACAGCUCUCAGCCUCGCCGAGGGGUCGUCAGGCUGGCUUCGGUCCCAGCUGGACAGCUGAUGGCCAGUGACACAGUGCCAGAGAUGCAACUGGAGAGACUGAACCAGAUCCUGAGCAUGGGAGGAAAACUUGUGACUGGAAGUCAUUGAUGCCAAAAGAGACUUUUCUGUCUUCCGGCCGCUGCCCUCACACCCCAAAACCUUUCUUCCUACAAACCCAAAGCAACAGCUGCAGUGUGGGAUAGGGAAAUAUUUGUCACUCUGCGUGUGGUUCCUGUGAGUCCAUCACCACUAUCCAUCACCAAGCUCUUCCCAAGUAAGCUAUCUUGCAGGAGAAUGUUCCCCUCCUGCUCAGAUGAACUGGAAGAAUGGGCAUCCUGCAAACAGAAAGUCAUCUCAAGCAACAAAAGCAAGAAGUGAAACUCAUUUUAAAUUGUCAGCUGUGUUCAGAGCUAUCUAGUUUGUCUUUUGAAGAAAGCCCACUGCUUGGGACACUGGAAAGUAAUUACAUGAUGUCUAUGCAGAUCCGUAAGUGUUUUGGCAUUGGGAGGAGAGCACUGAAAUACAGUCUUGUCAAUCA
Non-coding RNA from Cyanistes caeruleus (blue tit), 690 nucleotides. Lineage: Eukaryota; Metazoa; Chordata; Aves; Passeriformes; Paridae. The record is from RefSeq and is a predicted model, not a curated record.